CUGCAAGCUAGUGGGCUAGCAAGAGGGUGGACAGAUCUCUAGGCAGGAAGCUGGGAUUUUCUUCCUGGACUGUUCUCCAAGGUCUCCAUUCUUACAACAGAGGGGAAGAUAUUCUGGGAGGAAAUAAGUGGAUGGCUAGGAAGAAAGAUCCAUUAUGUAGUAAGAACAAAUUCUGCUUUCCUCCUUGGGAGGUUUUGAGACAUUUCUGUUAAGAUGAUUAAUUAAGACUAAAUUCAUUAACAGUGCCAGACAUCGAGGGUUCCUUCAUCCUAUGGACGUGUGUUGAGAGCUUUUGAUGUGUCUGGUGCCAGGAGGGAGUCAGACCUGCAAGGUCUCUGCUUCCCUGGAGCUGGCACAUCGAGUGGGAAGACAGAUAAUGAAGCCAGGAAACAAAUGCACGUGUGACCUGGUGCCAGGGAGAGAGGCAUGACGUGCUAGGAAGAGAGUCACACCAGGGCAUGAGGCCAGUGGGGGCAGGGACAGGCCAGGGGCUGUGGGGCUGUGUUAAACAGGCGGUCAGGGCAGGUCUCUCUGAGGAGGAGACAUGUGGGUGCAGAUCUGGUGUGGAAGAUCAGAAGAAUUUCCCACAGAGCGGGUGGUGUGGAGUAUAGUUCCCGAGGCAGGAGCAGCAUGGGGUGUUUGAAGAAUGCAAAGGGGGCCGGUGCAGCUGGAGGGUUCCAUGGAAAUGAAAUGGGUGCAGAAAUGGAGAAGCAGGCACUAUGCGUCCCCCAGGAGUUCAAUCUAGCAGUUCAUUUGCUGACACCUCAUCCCCAGUGUGAUUGCACUUGGAGGUACAGCCUUGGGAAGUGAGUACCAGAGAGCUGCCUUGCCCCUUCUACCGUGCGUGCACACAGAGAGAAGAUGGCCCUUCAUGAAGAAUCAGGCUCUCAAUAGACACUGAACCUGCCGACACCUUGACCUUGGACUUCCAGCCUCCAGAACCGCUCAGCGGCACUUUCUGCCUUUGCAUAAAAGCCAGCACAAUCCUGCCCGAGGUGGUCCACGCCCUGGUGGCUGCGCUAAGUGCUCCCCACACACCGUGUUCAGUCCUUACAGCUGACCUGAGCCCCAGGGAUUUCUCAGCCAAGCAUCAAUGAAUCUUGAAUCUCAGCUGAUGACACUCCUGGGCAAAAUGGCUAUGAAACUGGAAAGAUGUCUAUGAAACACACAGUCCCUCAAGCCAGAAAAUGCACUUGACACAUCUGUGUCCCUUGAGGAACCUGAAGUUUUGGUGAAUCCAGAAAGCCAUGGAUGGCAGAACUGACCACAGAAAAAGAAACAGAGGCUCAGAAAGGUGAAGCCAAUUGCCUGAAGCCACACAGAAUAUCAGCUGGAGUCAGGAUUCUAACACCAUCCCAUACGAGGAAACCAAGCUUCAAGGAAGCUGAGUCUCCUGUCCAAGCCCACGCAGUUGGCAAGUUGCAGAUCUGGAGUAGAGUACAAAACUCUCUCAUCUGUGUCUCCAAGACACCAUGACCCAUCAUGGCUUCCUUCUGCUGGUUCAGGCGUAGUCUCAGAAUUUUUCCUGCGCCAUUGCCCGCGCCACCCCAUCAACCCCAUCUGUUGCAGGUAGCUGAUGCUAUCUACUGCCAGCCUGGAGCCAGGCUAAGAGGAAGAGAAAGAAGAAAAUGCCUGCAGAAACAUUCUAUGUAAAGAACACUUUGGGAUCAGAAAAAGAAGCGCGCCCGUGUUUCACUUGCAGCCUCACCCUGCACUAGGUAACCCUCCUUCCUCCACUGCACAAUCACUUAGAAACUGUAACUCUUCUUGGGCCCAGGUGCACAGGUAAAUUCGGAUCUUUCCCAAGGCCCUGCAUGCUACCGUGAUUUUUAGGAACCCUAUGUCACCUCACAGAUCUGAGCAUAUAUGAGUUGGGCUCGUCACCCGGCCUUCUGGGAGUCUCAGUUUCCCUAUUUGUAAAAUGGACAUAGUAAACCCAUCUCCAUCUCACAGAGGAUAGUAAAAAGAGCCCUGGCCUUGGAGUCUGGGGGCUGGGCCACAGGUCAGGCUUCAAGACCCCCUGGGCCACGUUGGGGACUUGGGUUCCUGAGAUCCAAUCUCUGAGCAUCAGCUUCACUGUCUGUCGCAGAAGCACCAUUUCCCCACCUUGUCCACCUCACAGAACAGCCAGGUGGCUUAGAGGUGAGCUCUCAAAUGUCAACAGGCUUUGCAAACUCCAGUGGUCAGCAUUAUGUGAGUAGUUCAGUCUUUCCACAGGGAUCUCUGGGGCCUCGGGUCACAGCAGACCAGAACUUGACCUGGAGGCUGGUGUCCCCCAAACUGCUGUAUGGACCCUGCAACAGCUGGGGAGUCCUCGUCUCAACAGCCCUGCUGUCUCCCACUGAGGUCAUCUGCUGGCCCUCCUGGUGGCCCUGUGAGGAAGCCAGGAGUCACUGAUGCUGCUCUAUCGACGGCGACAGAUGGAUCACAGCUGAUAAGUGACUUGCCCAGAGUUUUGCAGCUUGGAACUCACAGAGCAGAAGCUGGGAAUCAGGUGGGGAAGCACCCAGCUCUCUGCUUCUCCUAAGCCAAGCUCUGCAGCGAGGUCCUGCUUCCCUCGGGACUCCUCUUUCAGCAUGACAUGAACUCAUUUUGAAUGUAAAGGCAAUGUCAAAGCCCUACAGCUAUUUAUACCAGAGCAUGUGUUUAUUAGCUCACUCUCCAGGGGGAAUAUUGCUGUUGUGAAUACACAACUACUCAUAACUACCGUCUUAAAAAUCUUCUCUACCCCAAAAUAUUUACUAAUGUAUUUAAGUAUUUAUUUUCUUGUAGUGAAAGGAAAUCAAGAUAAUUCUAAAAUUGUGGAAGAAAACAAAAAAAGUAUAAAGGAGAAAACAGAAGCUUCACAUAUUCUAACCAUUAUUAAUCUCAAAAUAUUUUAUUCCAGGUCCUUGUCUAUGGUCCAGGUCCUUGUCUAUGGUCCUAUAGCCUAUGCUGAGUGACACUGUGCUAUGUGUAUGCCAUUUGCACUCACCGUGGGGUCAUAAGCGUGCCAUUUCCUUUUUAUUAAAAAAAUACUUUGCAUACAUGAAAGUAUGUUUGCAUUAAAACUAUGCAAACAUCAGUUUUAAUAACUGUAUAAAUAUUCCAUCACAAGGACAUUCCAUAAUUUAUUUAAUCACUUUGGUAGUGUUGGACAUUUAAUUUUUUAAAAAGUCAAAUAAUGCCAGGAUUAAUGCCUGUUUAUAUGAACCAGUUUUCAUUUCCUGAUUAUUUUCUUCGGCCAGAUCCCCAAAAGUGGAAUUACUGAUAAAAGUAGGUGAGUGUUUUUAACACAUUUCUUCUUAUACACACACACACACACACACACACACACACACACCCAUCAACAAAUAGUUUUUCCUGGAAGGAACUUCCAGUAGUGUAUGAGAAAGCCUAUUGCACCACACCAUCCCCAGCAAUGAGAAUUACUACUGUAAAAAAAUCUUUGUUACAUUAAAUUUUUGGAGGACAUCUCAUUUUCUUGAUUGCAUUUGAUUAACUCAAAAUGUAUUUCUACAGGGUGGGGAACAUCACACACUGGGGCCUGUCGUGGGGUGGGGGGAUGGGGGAGGGAUAGCAUUAGGAGAAAUACCUAAUGUAAAUGACGAGUUAAUGGGUGCAGCAAAC
RNAcentral lists this long non-coding RNA (3609 nucleotides) under Homo sapiens (human). Its description in RNAcentral is "HSALNT0269653". Lineage: Eukaryota; Metazoa; Chordata; Mammalia; Primates; Hominidae. The record is from RNAcentral.